AAAGAAGACAGGCCGUCCAGCCCGUGCCCGCCUGCGGCGGGGGCACCCAGCAAGCCCGCCCACCGCCCGCUGCCUCACCUGCUUCGCCACAGACUCUUGUUCCCAGCCCCUUGGGGCCUCCGUGUUUGGGGUGGGGGAGCUGCUUAGAGACUGUGCCCGUCCUCGGCCCCCCACCCUGAAGUGCCAGCACCACCAGCACCAGAUCCUCCGCCGCCACACCG
RNAcentral lists this long non-coding RNA (221 nucleotides) under Homo sapiens (human). RNAcentral describes it as "long non-coding RNA NONHSAT067925". Lineage: Eukaryota; Metazoa; Chordata; Mammalia; Primates; Hominidae. The record is from RNAcentral.